UCUCCGUUGGUGAACCAGCGGAGGGAUCAUUACUGAGUGUAAAAACUCCCAAACCCCUGUGAACAUACCAUCUGUUGCUUCGGCGGGAUCGCCCCGGGCGCCUUUGCGUGCCCCGGAUCCAGGCGCCCGCCGGAGGACUCCAAACUCUUGUUUUAUAUGUGGCAUUAUCUGAGUGGCUUAUAGCAAAUAAAUCAAAACUUUCAACAAUGGAUCUCUUGGUUCUG
This 224-nucleotide unclassified non-coding RNA is filed under the name plant metagenome. Its description in RNAcentral is "partial contains small subunit ribosomal RNA, internal transcribed spacer 1, and 5.8S ribosomal RNA". The record is from RNAcentral.